UGGUGGCGAGUGGCGAACGGGUGAGUAAUGCAUCGGAACGUGCCCAGUCGUGGGGGAUAACUAGUCGAAAGAUUAGCUAAUACCGCAUACGACCUGAGGGUGAAAGCGGGGGACCUUAGGGCCUCGCGCGGUUGGAGCGGCCGAUGUCUGAUUAGCUAGUUGGUGGGGUAAAGGCCCACCAAGGCGACGAUCAGUAGCGGGUCUGAGAGGAUGAUCCGCCACACUGGGACUGAGACACGGCCCAGACUCCUACGGGAGGCAGCAGUGGGGAAUUUUGGACAAUGGGCGCAAGCCUGAUCCAGCCAUGCCGCGUGCAGGAAGAAGGCCUUCGGGUUGUAAACUGCUUUCGGACGGACAGAAAUCGUCAGGGCCAAUACCCCUGAUGGAUGACGGUACCGUAAGAAGAAGCACCGGCUAACUACGUGCCAGCAGCCGCGGUAAUACGUAGGGUGCGAGCGUUAAUCGGAAUUACUGGGCGUAAAGCGUGCGCAGGCGGAUAUUUAAGUCAGACGUGAAAUCCCCGAGCUUAACUUGGGAAUUGCGUUUGAAACUGGCUAUCUAGAGUGCGUCAGAGGGGGGUGGAAUUCCACGUGUAGCAGUGAAAUGCGUAGAGAUGUGGA
RNAcentral lists this ribosomal RNA (620 nucleotides) under uncultured denitrifying bacterium. RNAcentral describes it as "bacterial SSU rRNA". It matches the Rfam family "Bacterial small subunit ribosomal RNA", at positions 86 to 702 of the family's 1533-position model. The record is from RNAcentral.